UCAAAAGUGGCUGCCACCAACCUUCUUCACCAACCACCUCUCACCAACCACCUCUCACCUACCACCUCCAAAUCUUCCUAUAAAUAGAGAGCUCUUCUGCAGCAUCCAUCACAACAACACAACACACCAAACAACCAUCAAAGCUUUCUGCUAGAGAGAGAUAGAGAAAGAGAGAGAGAGAGAAAAAUCUUGUGAGAGAAAACUUCAGUGUGGAAGUUAUACACGAGUGAUAAAAGUGAGUUGAGAGAUAGCCUCUGCGUAGGCAUAUACAAAAUACAGUGUGGUAUUUUUGUUGUACUCCUCUUUUUGAGAUUCUCUAAUAUAUUGGUGUGGGUCCGUGGACGUAGGCAGUUUGGCCGAACCACGUUAAAAAUAUCGGUGUCAUUUAUUUUUCUAGUUUCAUAUCGGUCGAUAUCCAAAAUAUUGCGUCACACUAGAUCCCGGGCGGAAUUAGUUGCGUCUAAUUUCC
This 469-nucleotide long non-coding RNA is filed under the name Salvia miltiorrhiza (redroot sage). RNAcentral's name for it is "long non-coding RNA (SMIL_LNC013011)". Lineage: Eukaryota; Viridiplantae; Streptophyta; Magnoliopsida; Lamiales; Lamiaceae. The record is from RNAcentral.